CCUACGGGGGGCAGCAGUGGGGAAUAUUGCACAAUGGGGGAAACCCUGAUGCAGCGACGCCGCGUGAGGGAAGAAGGCCUUUGGGUCGUAAACCUCUGUUGUAUGGGAAGAAGGAAGUGACGGUACCAUACGAGGAAGUCCCGGCUAACUACGUGCCAGCAGCCGCGGUAAUACGGAGGGUGCAAGCGUUACUCGGAAUCACUGGGCGUAAAGAGCGUGUAGGCGGGUUAUUAAGUCAGAAGUGAAAUCCUAUGGCUCAACCAUAGAACUGCUUUUGAAACUGGUAACCUAGAGUAUGGGAGAGGUAGAUGGAAUUUCUGGUGUAGGGGUAAAAUCCGUAGAGAUCAGAAGGAAUACCGAUUGCGAAGGCGAUCUACUGGAACAUUACUGACGCUGAGACGCGAAAGCGUGGGGAGCAAACAGGAUUAGAUACCCCAGUAGUC
This 443-nucleotide ribosomal RNA is filed under the name uncultured Arcobacter sp. RNAcentral describes it as "bacterial SSU rRNA". It matches the Rfam family "Bacterial small subunit ribosomal RNA", at positions 338 to 795 of the family's 1533-position model. The record is from RNAcentral. Lineage: Bacteria; Pseudomonadati; Campylobacterota; Epsilonproteobacteria; Campylobacterales; Arcobacteraceae.